GAUUGAACGCUGGCGGCAGGCCUAACACAUGCAAGUCGAGCGGUAACAGAAAGUAGCUUGCUACUUUGCUGACGAGCGGCGGACGGGUGAGUAAUGCUUGGGAACAUGCCUUGAGGUGGGGGACAACAGUUGGAAACGACUGCUAAUACCGCAUAAUGUCUACGGACCAAAGGGGGCUUCGGCUCUCGCCUUUAGAUUGGCCCAAGUGGGAUUAGCUAGUUGGUGAGGUAAUGGCUCACCAAGGCGACGAUCCCUAGCUGGUUUGAGAGGAUGAUCAGCCACACUGGGACUGAGACACGGCCCAGACUCCUACGGGAGGCAGCAGUGGGGAAUAUUGCACAAUGGGCGCAAGCCUGAUGCAGCCAUGCCGCGUGUGUGAAGAAGGCCUUCGGGUUGUAAAGCACUUUCAGUCAGGAGGAAAGGUUAGUAGUUAAUACCUGCUAGCUGUGACGUUACUGACAGAAGAAGCACCGGCUAACUCCGUG
Molecule: ribosomal RNA, 485 nt
Filed under: uncultured Pseudoalteromonas sp.
Lineage: Bacteria; Pseudomonadati; Pseudomonadota; Gammaproteobacteria; Alteromonadales; Pseudoalteromonadaceae
Description: bacterial SSU rRNA
Rfam family: Bacterial small subunit ribosomal RNA
Source: RNAcentral